UGGCUGUAGUGAUGAUGAUGACAGUUGUCUUUGUCCUGAAAAGAUCUAUGUGGGCUUUUAGUCACUACCUCAUCUGAACAGUCA
Echeneis naucrates (live sharksucker) is the source of this 84-nucleotide small nucleolar RNA. Ensembl annotates it as small nucleolar RNA SNORD11B. NCBI's taxonomy places the organism in Eukaryota, Metazoa, Chordata, Actinopteri, Carangiformes, Echeneidae. The record is from Ensembl.